GAUCCUGGCUCAGGAUGAACGCUAGCUACAGGCUUAACACAUGCAAGUCGAGGGGCAGCAUUUUAGUUUGCUUGCAAACUGAAGAUGGCGACCGGCGCACGGGUGAGUAACACGUAUCCAACCUGCCGAUAACUCCGGAAUAGCCUUUCGAAAGAAAGAUUAAUACCGGAUGGCAUACGAAUAUCGCAUGAUAUUUUUAUUUAAAGAAUUUCGGUUAUCGAUGGGGAUGCGUUCCAUUAGUUUGUUGG
Molecule: ribosomal RNA, 248 nt
Filed under: uncultured bacterium
Lineage: Bacteria
Description: partial 16S ribosomal RNA
Rfam family: Bacterial small subunit ribosomal RNA
Source: RNAcentral